GAUGAACGCUGGCGGCGUGCCUAAUACAUGCAAGUCGAGCGAAUGGAUUAAGAGCUCGCUCUUAUGAAGUUAGCGGCGGACGGGUGAGUAACACGUGGGUAACCUGCCCAUAAGACUGGGAUAACUCCGGGAAACCGGAGCUAAUACCGGAUAACAUGUUGAACCGCAGGGUUCGAAAUUGAAAGGCGGCUGCGGCUGUCACUUAUGGAUGGAUCAGCGUCGCAUUAGCUAGUUGGUGAGGUAACGGCUCACCAAGGCAACGAUGCGUAGCCGACCUGAGAGGGUGAUCGGCCACACUGGGACUGAGACACGGCCCAGACUCCUACGGGAGGCAGCAGUAGGGAAUCUUCCGCAAUGGACGAAAGUCUGACGGAGCAACGCCGCGUGAGUGAUGAAGGCUUUCGGGUCGUAAAACUCUGUUGUUAGGGAAGAACAAGUGCUAGUUGAAUAAGCUGGCACCUUGACGGUACCUAACCAGAAUGCCACGGCUAACUACGUGCCAGCCGCCGCGGUAA
RNAcentral lists this ribosomal RNA (515 nucleotides) under uncultured bacterium. RNAcentral describes it as "partial 16S ribosomal RNA". It matches the Rfam family "Bacterial small subunit ribosomal RNA", at positions 28 to 523 of the family's 1533-position model. The record is from RNAcentral.